AAUAUUGGUAUGAUUAUGUUUGUUUACAAAUUUUAUAUUUUGUUUAAGUUAGGAUGGCGCGUAGUAAUGUGGCUAUUGUAGUUCAUUAGAAUGGAGAAAUAUUGGCGUACGAUAACAAUCCAAAGUACGUUGGCAGUCGUAAGAAAUUAAGUGGUAUUGCCGUGGAUAUUAAAUUUACAGAAUUCGAGAGAAAAAUAUAUAGAUUAACUAAUACUCCGAGAAAUGAGUAUCGUCUAAUUAUCAAAGUCCAAUAUUCGAUCGGGAUGAAUCAAUUCGAGUGUUGUGCCUUUGGUACACUACUACAGAUCAAAUCACUAUAACUUAGUUUCUUUUAUUAAUAACUUAUAACUUAUAACUUAGUUUCUUUUACUAAUUUUAUAGUUAACUUUUUUUGUUCUUAGAUAU
This 405-nucleotide long non-coding RNA is filed under the name Ananas comosus (pineapple). RNAcentral's name for it is "long non-coding RNA (ACOM_LNC021112)". The record is from RNAcentral. Lineage: Eukaryota; Viridiplantae; Streptophyta; Magnoliopsida; Poales; Bromeliaceae.